Molecule: non-coding RNA, 359 nt
Organism: Pelobates cultripes (western spadefoot toad)
Lineage: Eukaryota; Metazoa; Chordata; Amphibia; Anura; Pelobatidae
Source: the annotation of a GenBank genome assembly
CGAUACACAAAGUUUGCAUAGCGUACACAUUGCAUUACACUGGUAUGGAAGGAAAGAUGGCAAUGCCCUUGUGAGCUUACAAUCUAACAGUAGGAUGGACAGAAGGAAGGAGGUUGUAUAUGAGUAACAAAUUACAACAGCAACUAAUGGCUAAGCCUUCUAAUGACUAAGCACAAACGCCUUCUUUAAGAAUUUGUAUGGGAGAUUAGGGGGGACAAAGACGUCUUCUCUAAAUAUGUUUUUGUUUUUACAGAACUUUUAAAACUGUGGGAUAUAAGUGGUGCCCAACAGAGGAAUGUAAUUAAUUUCAAAGGGUUGAUGGUGGAAAGGAGAGUGAAAGGAAGUGAUAAGAGAAGAAC